This 253-nucleotide ribosomal RNA is filed under the name uncultured bacterium. Its description in RNAcentral is "partial 16S ribosomal RNA". It matches the Rfam family "Bacterial small subunit ribosomal RNA", at positions 524 to 776 of the family's 1533-position model. The record is from RNAcentral.
GACGAACCGUGCGAACGUUGUUCGGAAUCACUGGGCUUAAAGGGCGCGUAGGCGGCCCGUCAAGUCAGGGGUGAAAGCCCCCAGCUCAACUGGGGAAGGGCCUUUGAUACUGGCGGGCUCGAGGGGGGUAGGGGCGGACGGAACUUCCGGUGGAGCGGUGAAAUGCGUUGAUAUCGGAAGGAACGCCGGUGGCGAAAGCGGUCCGCUGGGUCCCCUCUGACGCUGAGGCGCGAAAGCCAGGGGAGCAAACGGG